Long non-coding RNA from Coturnix japonica (Japanese quail), 457 nucleotides. RefSeq lists it as uncharacterized. NCBI's taxonomy places the organism in Eukaryota, Metazoa, Chordata, Aves, Galliformes, Phasianidae. The record is from RefSeq and is a predicted model, not a curated record.
CAGGAUUCACAGACAUCAAAGAACCUGCAAUAGUGAGAAAAUAAUCAAACUCAACUAUUAGUUGCAUAACAGUACUGUAACGAUGUCUGGAUGUCUUUAUCUUCCCUCAGAGUGUUUGAAAUCAAAUCCAAGACUUCAGGAUUGAGGACCAAGAAAUAAACUCUUUUUGCUGAGCUAGAGAACAAUGGUCUUCAAAGAGGAAGACAAAACCAUCUGAAGCCAGCUCUGCUAGAGUUAUUGUUUGGCUCUAUCUUCUUUGCCAAAUACAGGAACAGAGAUCAUAUUUUAAGGUACUGUUUGCUCUGACUUGCAGAACUGUAUUUCAUAUGCAAAUGUUUUUUUUCCUGGGAGGGAAUAGGAUCAGCCUGGGUCAACAAUUGCUUCCAAGAAUUAGGAAAGCCUGAAUGCAAUAUCACUGCUUUCACCAUUCACAUGUGAUUAAAUCUGGUAAACUAUA